Molecule: ribosomal RNA, 466 nt
Filed under: uncultured bacterium
Lineage: Bacteria
Description: partial 16S ribosomal RNA
Rfam family: Bacterial small subunit ribosomal RNA
Source: RNAcentral
GAUGAACGCUGGCGGCGUGCUUAACACAUGCAAGUCGAACGAUGAAGCCCAGCUUGCUGGGUGGAUUAGUGGCGAACGGGUGAGUAACACGUGAGUAACCUGCCCUUUACUCUGGGAUAAGCCUGGGAAACUGGGUCUAAUACUGGAUAUGACUUCUCAUCGCAUGGUGGGGGGUGGAAAGAUUUAUUGGUCUUGGAUGGACUCGCGGCCUAUCAGCUUGUUGGUGAGGUAAUGGCUCACCAAGGCGACGCCGGGUAGCCGGCCUGAGAGGGUGACCGGCCACACUGGGACUGAGACACGGCCCAGACUCCGACGGGAGGCAGCAGUGGGGAAUAGUGCACAAUGGGCGCAAGCCGGAUGCAGCGACGCCGCGUGAGUGAUGACGGCCUUCGGGUUGUAAACCUCUUUCAGUAGGGAAGAAGCGAGAGUGACGGUACCUGCAGAAGAAGCGCCGGCUAACUACGUG